AGAGUUUGUCAUGGCUCAGAACGUACGCUGGCGGCACGCCUAACACAUGCAAGUCGAACGAAGUAGCAAUACUUAGUGGCAGACGGGUGAGUAACAUGUAGGUAUCUGCCCUUUGGCCUGGAAUAACACGAGGAAACUUGUGCUAAUACCGGAUAAGUCUUUACGGAGAAAGCUUUAUGCACCAUUGGAUGAGCCUGCACUUGAUUAGUUUGUUGGUGGGGUAAUGGCCCACCAAGACUGUGAUCAAUAGCUGAUUUGAGAGGAUGAUCAGCCACAUUGGGACUGAGACACGGCCCAAACUCCUACGGGAGGCAGCAGUGGGGAAUCUUGCACAAUGGAGGAAACUCUGAUGCAGCGAUGCCGCGUGAGUGAAGAAGGCCCUUGGGUUGUAAAGCUCUUUCGUCGGGGAAGAAAAUGACUGUACCCGAAUAAGAAGGUCCGGCUAACUUCGUGCCAGCAGCCGCGGUAAUACGAAGGGACCUAGCGUAGUUCGGAAUUACUGGGCUUAAAGAGUUCGUAGGUGGUUGAAAAAGUUAGUGGUGAAAUCCCAGAGCUUAACUCUGGAACUGCCAUUAAAACUUUCCAGCUAGAGUAUGAUAGAGGAAAGCAGAAUUUCUAGUGUAGAGGUGAAAUUCGUAGAUAUUAGAAAGAAUACCAAUUGCGAAGGCAGCUUUCUGGAUCAUUACUGACACUGAGGAACGAAAGCAUGGGUAGCGAAGAGGAUUAGAUACCCUCGUAGUCCAUGCCGUAAACGAUGUGUGUUAGACGUUGGAAAUUUA
This 779-nucleotide ribosomal RNA is filed under the name uncultured Alphaproteobacteria bacterium. Its description in RNAcentral is "bacterial SSU rRNA". It matches the Rfam family "Bacterial small subunit ribosomal RNA", at positions 8 to 833 of the family's 1533-position model. Lineage: Bacteria; Pseudomonadati; Pseudomonadota; Alphaproteobacteria. The record is from RNAcentral.